This 504-nucleotide ribosomal RNA is filed under the name uncultured bacterium. RNAcentral describes it as "partial 16S ribosomal RNA". It matches the Rfam family "Bacterial small subunit ribosomal RNA", at positions 28 to 507 of the family's 1533-position model. The record is from RNAcentral.
GACGAACGCUGGCGGCGUGCUUAACACAUGCAAGUCGAACGGUGAAGCGCCUGCCUUUUUGGUGGGUGUGGAUGAGUGGCGAACGGGUGAGUAACACGUGAGUAACCUGCCCUCUUCUUCUGGAUAACCUCAUGAAAGUGGGGCUAAUACGGGGUAUUCCGGGUCUGUCGCAUGGCGGGUUUGGGAAAGAUUGCGCCUUUGGGUGUUUUCGGUGGGGGAUGGGCUCGCGGCCUAUCAGCUUGUUGGUGGGGUGAUGGCCUACCAAGGCGGUGACGGGUAGCCGGCCUGAGAGGGUGGACGGCCACACUGGGACUGAGACACGGCCCAGACUCCUGCGGGAGGCAGCAGUGGGGAAUAUUGCACAAUGGGCGCAAGCCUGAUGCAGCGACGCCGCGUGAGGGAUGGAGGCCUUCGGGUUGUGAACCUCUAUCGCCAGUGAAGCAGGCCUGCUCCUGUGUGGGUGGGUUGACGGUAGCUGGAUAAGAAGCGCCGGCUAACUACGUG